This 492-nucleotide ribosomal RNA is filed under the name uncultured bacterium. Its description in RNAcentral is "partial 16S ribosomal RNA". It matches the Rfam family "Bacterial small subunit ribosomal RNA", at positions 29 to 507 of the family's 1533-position model. The record is from RNAcentral.
AGUGAACGCUGGCGGUAGGCCUAACACAUGCAAGUCGAGCGGCAGCACAAUAAGAGCUUGCUCUUACGGGUUGCGAGUGACGUACGGGUGACACAUACAUAACAAACCACUUUGUCGUGGGUGAUAACGUAGGUAAACUUACACUAGUACCGCAUAUUACCAACGGCUGAAAGCAGGGGAUCUUCGGACUUUGCGCGAUUCAAGGAGCCGAUGUCGGGUUGGAUAGUUGGCGGGGUAAACGCCUAACAAGUCAACGAUCCGUAGCUGAACCGACAGGAUGAUCAGCCACACUGGAACUGAGACACGGUCCAGACUCCUACGGGAGGCAGCAGUAGGGAAUCUUAGGCAAUGGGCGCAAGCCUGAUGCAGCCAUACCGCGUGUGUGAAGAAGGUGUUCGGGUCGUAAACCCCUUUUGUUAGGAAAGAACAUCAGCAGGUUUAAACCUCGCUGUCGUGACGGUACCAAAAGAAAAAGCCCCGGCUAACUUCGUG